This is a non-coding RNA of Acanthosepion pharaonis, 113 nucleotides long. The record is from the annotation of a GenBank genome assembly. NCBI's taxonomy places the organism in Eukaryota, Metazoa, Mollusca, Cephalopoda, Sepiida, Sepiidae.
UUACGGGCAUAUCAUGUUGAAACACCGGUUCUCGUACAAUCACCGAAGUUAAGCAAUGUUGAACCUAGUCAGUACCUAGAUGGGUAGCCGUUUGGGAAUACCAGAUGCUGUAA